Molecule: long non-coding RNA, 171 nt
Organism: Sapajus apella (tufted capuchin)
Lineage: Eukaryota; Metazoa; Chordata; Mammalia; Primates; Cebidae
Exons: 2
Source: RefSeq, a predicted model, not a curated record
UGAGGUAAGCUAUGAAAAUGCAAAGGCAUAAGAAUAAGCUAAUGCCGCAGGGUUCUGAACCCCUGGAUGGCCUAUUAGAAAACGGCCACAGACAGCAGCAUUUCCUCUUGGGCUCCACCUCUUGUGAAAUCAGCAGAGGCUACCCAGUUGAUCCUGCCAGAAGCAUAGAGA